AUCCAAAGUAGGAUGCUGAACGUGCCCGAUCUCGUCUGAUCUUGGAAGCUAAACAGGGUCAGGCCUGGUUAGUACUUGGAUGGGAGACCAUCUAGGAAGACCAGGUGCUGUAGACG
RNAcentral lists this ribosomal RNA (116 nucleotides) under Pteropus alecto (black flying fox). Lineage: Eukaryota; Metazoa; Chordata; Mammalia; Chiroptera; Pteropodidae. The record is from RNAcentral.